Molecule: ribosomal RNA, 432 nt
Filed under: uncultured bacterium
Lineage: Bacteria
Description: partial 16S ribosomal RNA
Rfam family: Bacterial small subunit ribosomal RNA
Source: RNAcentral
AACGAACGCUGGCGGCAUGCCUAACACAUGCAAGUCGAACGAGACCUUCGGGUCUAGUGGCGCACGGGUGCGUAACGCGUGGGAAUCUGCCCUUGGGUUCGGAAUAACAGUUGGAAACGACUGCUAAUACCGGAUGAUGACGUAAGUCCAAAGAUUUAUCGCCCAAGGAUGAGCCCGCGUAGGAUUAGCUAGUUGGUGAGGUAAAGGCUCACCAAGGCGACGAUCCUUAGCUGGUCUGAGAGGAUGAUCAGCCACACUGGGACUGAGACACGGCCCAGACUCCUACGGGAGGCAGCAGUGGGGAAUAUUGGACAAUGGGCGAAAGCCUGAUCCAGCAAUGCCGCGUGAGUGAUGAAGGCCUUAGGGUUGUAAAGCUCUUUUACCCGGGAUGAUAAUGACAGUACCGGGAGAAUAAGCUCCGGCUAACUCCGU